UGGAGCCACAGCUCAAGGAAUAUGAGCAGCCUUUAGAAGCUGGGAGAAACAAGAAACAGAUUCUCUCCGGAGCCUCCAAAAGUAACCAGCCGUGCUGUCAUCUUGACGUUAGUCCAUUAAAACUCAUUAGAGAAUAAAUUUGCAUUUCUUUCAGCCAUGAAGUCCACCAUAAUUUGUUACAGCAUCUGUAGGAAUCUCAUAGGAGUAUUUCUGGGGAACACAACUUCAGACAGAGGGAAGAAUUUCAAUCUUCUCAGAAAGCAGUAGAAGAAUAAAAGAAAGGUCCAUCAUCCUGUUCUAGCUUCUCAAAUUUGAGCUUUCUCCACUGACAUGUCUCAGAUAUCCAGAUGUGCUUGGCAAGAAAAUCGACUCAUUUUUGGAUACCCAGGUUCAUUUAAGUAGUUGGAAAUGCAUAUCUGGACUCCAGGACAGAGGUCAGACCCGGAGAUAUAUUAAAUUAAAACAAGCUGGGUUGUCAUAUCAUAAUGUAUGAGUUAUGCUGAUUUACUUUUCUAUGAACUACUUUGUCC
Molecule: long non-coding RNA, 530 nt
Filed under: Mustela putorius furo (domestic ferret)
Lineage: Eukaryota; Metazoa; Chordata; Mammalia; Carnivora; Mustelidae
Description: lncRNA (ENSMPUG00000029063.1)
Source: RNAcentral